This is a long non-coding RNA of Exaiptasia diaphana, 306 nucleotides long. RefSeq lists it as uncharacterized. NCBI's taxonomy places the organism in Eukaryota, Metazoa, Cnidaria, Anthozoa, Actiniaria, Aiptasiidae. The record is from RefSeq and is a predicted model, not a curated record. The transcript is spliced from 3 exons.
ACAGCACCCUUACGCUGACGUCGGUAGUCGUCCGGUGUUACAACUCGAACUACAUACAACGUCUGCAAUGGAGGUUGUGCAACAAAUMAGUUGAAAUUGAAUUAUAAUCAACUCUAUCGAUUUGAGGUUACGUCACAGCGGCCAUCUUGGAGGAACUAUAGCCGAAACAACAACGCAGCUCACAUUAGUUUACCACUAUUUUCCAUCACUCAAAAAAAUGGCUGAAGAUGUGUAAUAUUUGUCUAAACGGUCUAAGUUGACAUGGGCCCGCUUUGAUAAUUACCAAAAUAAAAUAUAUACUGUUAA